Molecule: ribosomal RNA, 465 nt
Filed under: uncultured bacterium
Lineage: Bacteria
Description: partial 16S ribosomal RNA
Rfam family: Bacterial small subunit ribosomal RNA
Source: RNAcentral
GACGAACGCUGGCGGCGUGCUUAACACAUGCAAGUCGUACGGUAAGGCCCUUUCGGGGGUACACGAGUGGCGAACGGGUGAGUAACACGUGAGUAACCUGCCCACAACUUUGGGAUAACGCUAGGAAACUGGUGCUAAUACUGGAUAUGUGCCCCUGCUGCAUGGUGGGGGUUGGAAAGCUCCGGCGGUUGUGGAUGGACUCGCGGCCUAUCAGCUUGUUGGUGGGGUAGUGGCCUACCAAGGCGGCGACGGGUAGCCGGCCUGAGAGGGUGACCGGCCACAUUGGGACUGAGAUACGGCCCAGACUCCUACGGGAGGCAGCAGUGGGUAAUAUUGCACAAUGGGCGCAAGCCUGAUGCAGCAACGCCGCGUGCGGGAUGACGGCCUUCGGGUUGUAAACCGCUUUCAGCAGGGACGAAGCUUUUUGUGACGGUACCUGCAGAAGAAGCACCGGCUAACUACGUG